RNAcentral lists this ribosomal RNA (253 nucleotides) under uncultured bacterium. Its description in RNAcentral is "partial 16S ribosomal RNA". It matches the Rfam family "Bacterial small subunit ribosomal RNA", at positions 524 to 776 of the family's 1533-position model. The record is from RNAcentral.
UACGGAGGGUGCAAGCGUUAAUCGGAAUCACUGGGCGUAAAGCGCGCGUAGGUGGCUAUUUAAGUCAGAUGUGAAAGCCCUGGGCUCAACCUGGGAAUGGCAUUUGAUACUGGAUAGCUAGAGUAUGGUAGAGGUGAGUGGAAUUUCAGGUGUAGCGGUGAAAUGCGUAGAGAUCUGAAGGAACAUCAGUGGCGAAGGCGGCCUCCUGGACUAACACUGACGCUGAGGUACGAAAGCGUGGGGAUCAAACAGG